ACGGGUGAGUAACACGUGGGUAACCUGCCCAUCAGAAGGGGAUAACACUUGGAAACAGGUGCUAAUACCGUAUAACACUAUUUUCCGCAUGGAAGAAAGUUGAAAGGCGCUUUUGCGUCACUGAUGGAUGGACCCGCGGUGCAUUAGCUAGUUGGUGAGGUAACGGCUCACCAAGGCCACGAUGCAUAGCCGACCUGAGAGGGUGAUCGGCCACACUGGGACUGAGACACGGCCCAGACUCCUACGGGAGGCAGCAGUAGGGAAUCUUCGGCAAUGGACGAAAGUCUGACCGAGCAACGCCGCGUGAGUGAAGAAGGUUUUCGGAUCGUAAGACUCUGUUGUUAGAGAAGAACAAGGAUGAGAGUAGAACGUUCAUCCCUUGACGGUAUCUAACCAGAAAGCCACGGCUAACUACGUGCCAGCAGCCGCGGUAAUACGUAGGUGGCAAGCGUUGUCCGGAUUUAUUGGGCGUAAAGCGAGCGCAGGCGGUUUCUUAAGUCUGAUGUGAAAGCCCCCGGCUCAACCGGGGAGGGUCAUUGGAAACUGGGAGACUUGAGUGCAGAAGAGGAGAGUGGAAUUCCAUGUGUAGCGGUGAAAUGCGUAGAUAUAUGGAGGAACACCAGUGGCGAAGGCGGCUCUCUGGUCUGUAACUGACGCUGAGGCUCGAAAGCGUGGGGAGCGAACAGGAUUAGAUACCCUGGUAGUCCACGCCGUAAA
This 717-nucleotide ribosomal RNA is filed under the name uncultured bacterium. RNAcentral's name for it is "bacterial SSU rRNA". It matches the Rfam family "Bacterial small subunit ribosomal RNA", at positions 102 to 806 of the family's 1533-position model. The record is from RNAcentral.